AAGGAAUAUGGGGCAAUGGACGCAAGUCUGACCCAGCCAUGCCGCGUGAAGGAUGAAUGUCCUAUGGAUUGUAAACUUCUUUUAUGCAGGAAAAAUAUCCUGGUCGAGCACCGGGACUGAUGGUACUGUAUGAAUAAGCAUCGGCUAACUCCGAGCCAGCAGCCGCGGUAAUACGGAGGAUGCAAGCGUUAUCCGGAUUCAUUGGGUUUAAAGGGUGCGCAGGCGGAAUGAUAAGUCAGUGGUGAAAUCUCCCGGCUCAACCGGGAAACUGCCAUUGAUACUGUCAUUCUUGAGUACAGUUGAAGUGGGCGGAAUGUGUCAUGUAGCGGUGAAAUGCUUAGAUAUGACACAGAACACCGAUAGCGAAGGCAGCUCACUAAGCUGUAACUGACGCUCAUGCACGAAAGCGUGGGGAUCAAACAG
This 423-nucleotide ribosomal RNA is filed under the name uncultured bacterium. RNAcentral describes it as "bacterial SSU rRNA". It matches the Rfam family "Bacterial small subunit ribosomal RNA", at positions 356 to 775 of the family's 1533-position model. The record is from RNAcentral.